AAUGGUAUGUUAUGUCGUGCAGUAGUUUCUUUAAACAGCAAUGAUGAAUGGUUACACUUUCAUGCCAAUAGUUUUACUGUUUCAUAUGACAGUGAUUUCUCUCCAAUAUAUUCUGGAAAAAGAGAAAUCUUCUGAGAAAUUUGUUUUCUUGUUUUCAAAAGAACUCAAUGAUACCGUUUUUGAGGAACUUGAGAAAUCUCACUGGAAUAAACUCUACCAGAUAACUCCUACAACCUUCAUAUUCCAAUAAAAAGGCAGAACCAUAAAUGAGGCAAUUGGAGGAGUAAAAAGGAAGUUUAAAAAUCAGGUAGGUAAUUCUUGCUAGUUUCAGCUUCUUUCCUGUUAAAUACCGUGGUUUCACUUUUUUUAAACAAGUAUAUAAUGGAUAUGAUGUUCAUAUUUUGAUGAAUAUAGUUAGUAACAGUACGAUUUGAAUUUUAAAUUUAGUAAUUAAACUCAAAACCUACUUUUUACUGAAAUCAGCUUUAAAUUUACGCUGCCAUAAAUGUGGAACAGUGAUUUUGGAAUAUUUUAAAAAUAAACCAAAUACAUAAAAAUUGGAAAUAGAUAAGGCCAAUUAUUGUUCACGUUAUAUUAAUUGUGCCUACAACUUGAUAAAUAUUUUCGUUAAUAUUUAAGCCGGGAGUUGAUAAUAUAAUAAUAAUUAAGAAAUAAUUUAUAGCAAAAGAGUGCUUUAACACUAUUUAUGCACGAUGGGCGGUUGUACGUCGGGCUAAUAAUUUCACGAGGGCGCACCCUGAGUGAAAUUAUUUGUGCGACGUAUUACCGCCCGAGUGUAUACAUAGUGUUAAAACACGGUUUUGCUAUAAAUUAUUUCGAUUCUAAUAUGUCCUUUAUCUAAAACAGCAGAUAAAAUAUAGGAGCGCUCUUUCCUGGUCGCAAUAAAAACUUUGACGUCACUGCACGUUAACGUGACGCCAGUCUAUCGUAAGAGUGUUAUAACAGAGACAAGCAUAUUAGAAUAAUAAAUACUUCAAUAUUUACCGUGGUGGGCAAUUAUUUGUGCGGGUGGAAUUAAAAAACUAUAUUUUUAGUGAAAUGUCAUGUAAUUACAAUAAACUAAACCUUAAUUUUUUAUUGAUAAAGAACUGUAACUGUUGUGAAAAUAAAGAUGUCAAUAUUGGAUGAGUCAUUUUUGGUAUCAGUCAUUGACACGAUAACAGUUUUUUUUCAUGAUUAAAACUGUAUGCUAACCAAGUACAUAGGUUUAAACGAUCAUCUCUUAUCUCCUAUGGUGCACGUGCAACUAAUACUUAUUGAUAUUAAGAUACAAAUAAUUGAUAUUUUCCUUAGGUGAAGUUUAUUUUAAAAAAUGAUAUUUUAAACAAGCUGUGUAAAACACUUGCUAAACUGAAACAUUCAAGUCGAGAAAAAGGAAUACCGCAUAUUAGUUUUUGCUCAUAUUAAUAAUUCAUAGAUCCGAUAUGUCAAGAUAAUGCGUUAUCCGUCGAUCCGUUAUUAUCAUUGUGUCUCACAAGCUUACCGUAUGAUUAAGUACUUACAGACUGUAAAGUUCUAAAUAAAAAUAAAAAUUAUUUUUCAUGGGCAUACAUUCGGAGGAAGGUGUUUCUGCAUAUCUUUUUUUUCAAAUUGCUAUGUAUAUAUUUUGGAAUUGUGCAUGCGUGCAUGCGUGCGUGCGUGUGUGUUUUAAUAUCGAAAUUAGCAGACAUAUUCCGUAACGAUGAAUAGAUAUAAUAGACAACUAUUUCUAAACAUUUUUGUUUUCAAAAUACAAAUUUCAAUAGGUUGUUUAUAGAAUUAACACGAUUAAAGUUAUUGUAUGGCGUCUGCAUUUAAUAACCACAUAUAUGUCCUUAAAUAUCAUUUUGUACAGCUUAUAAGAAUUAAGUAAAUUUGUAGCAUUGACAGAUCAAAUAAUGAGAUGGUUUGAUUAACGAUAUCAAUAAAUGUGUUGCAUAUUGAAAAACGUUAACACCUGAUGAUUUGUGUCUCCUCCUUUACUUCCUGUAUAUAUCUGGGGUUAAGGUCAUAACAGCUGAUUAAAACUGUACAUUUUGAUUGGUGGAAGGUCCACAGCUUUUCGAAUGUAAUAGAUGAUAUUUUCUUACGGGGUGUGCAGGUACUCAAACUGAAAUAGCUUACAUCAUAAACCUGAAUCCCCUCGGUAGUGAAUUCGACUUCAAACAUGCCAUAUCUGAAUGACAUUCCUAAAAUCGAUUUACAGUCAACUUGUCCCCUUGUCAACCAUUUUGGUCAUUUCGUAUCCCUUGAUGCUUUCAAACUGGUCAUUUCUUCCCCUACUUUUCGGGUCUCCUUUUCAGUCUUAUUUUUGUCAAAGUUUCCUAGAUUCUGAUUAGUAUAAUUAUGAUGUAAAGUAUGUGUUCUGUAAAAUAUGUUCUACAUAAAAACAUGAAAAUGUUACUUUAACAACUACAUUUUGUAUUGCUUUUUAAAUACAAGGUGCAGAGUGCAUGCAUGUUUCGUAGCUUAAAGAGUGCAUUGGCUAAUGCGGCUGUGUAUCAUUUUGAAAUGAUGAUACUUCUAGUUUUCGUUUGCGUUGGUGACAACCGUGAUAUCAAUUGACAGAAGUUUAACUUUUUUUAAACCGCCGAACAUUCCAUCAAUGUAGGACCAUGCUCAGGGACACACAAACACUGUGGAAUUUUCCUAAAUAACGAUGUUGGGGCUAACAGUAUUAGUUGAGUCUCCAGAAGAAUUUAACAUAUUAAAAUGAAAUACAAUGAUUUUAAUUCUCAAAUUAAAUAAAAGCAAACAAAGAAAUGACUGAACGUUUGAAACAUAAUCGGUUGCGUAAAAGCAAACAUAUCAUGCGAGGGGAUAAUACUUAAAUACUUACAAAGCGCAGGUGUUAUUCAGUGAAUUAAAGAGAACAGAAAAUGUAUUUCAACUUUAAUAUAUUUAUGGACAUAACUCUCUUUGCAAGAUAACAACUGUGUCGUGACGUUUUUUAUUAUGUGUAUUACACUUUAUCUCAAAAGUCUGUGUGCACUGUGUGCGGUCCCAAAAUAAAUGAAUUUAUCAAAUCCUAUGACUUUCGUAUCUAUAAAGACCUUAUUAGCAACGACAUUUAACAGCUCUAUUUCACCACUUUUCUUCAUAGAAUUAAGUUUAAUGUUAUUAAAUGGUAUAAUAUUAUUAAAUGAUUCAUUAAGCGCGGGAUCUGACAGGUGUUCUAGCUUUUGUGACUGCUCGAUCCGUCGUCCGUCGUGCGUCGUACGUCCGUCAACAAUUUCUAAAAUAAAUCUUCUUCUUCAAAACCAAUUGGAAGAUUUACAUCAAACGUCGCAUAAAUGAUUCCUUGGAGGCCCCCUUGCAAAAUUGUUCAAAGAAUUAAAUUCCAAACAGAAGUUUAGUUGUCAUGGCAACCGAAAGAUAAAACUUAAAAAAAUAUCUUCUUGUCUAAAACCGCAACCGUUUCGAUGCAUUUGCAAUAAUGUCCCACUGCUGAAAUUACCAAUAACUAGAUUGAACGUAGUUUUCAGAAAUUGUUUAGUUUUAUUUCUUUACAAAUGUUAUUCAUUUUUAAAGAGGGGCAACUUUUUGAGAAUAUUUUAAGUAUCCGACAUAUGAGACAGUACGGCAGGACAUGUAAAGGUCAGAUAGAUCGUUUGUAAAGAUGUUGUACGUUUAUCAAAUAUUUCUGUGUUUUGAAGAUAUACUUCCUAACCUUAAUUUAUGCUUUCAAGGUAAAAAAUAUUUAUAUAAAAGGUCAUGUUUUUAAUAUAAAAAUCUGUUACACAGUAUGAAAGGCAGCAUGAGGACAUGUAUCUGUACGUAUAUGCUAACAUAUGAUAAGAUGAAAUAGUAUAGAUGCAGUGAUACAGUUCUGAAUUUAUCGAGCUAAUUACAAACAAUUACAAACAAUCAGAUGCCCUCAGUCAGAACCUUAUUAACACCCUGGUAUUAAAUUAUAUAUAUAUAUUUAGUUGUAGUUGUGUUUACGUGAGCUUUAAUUUUAUUAGAAUAUGACAAUACACGCACAAACUUCUUAUUCUUCAGCAGUAUUGAGAUUAUCAUCCAAUACCAUUAAAGUCUAGCUGAUUGAUAUAGCAUCACUUAAUUAUGUAUGAUUUUGGCUUAACAAUGAGAUUCGAUUGCAAUUUAAGAAUUCUGGCUAUAUUUGCACAUGAACAUCAGUUGCGAAAACGCACUCCUUUUAUAUUAAUAGGUUAUUAGCUUUGUAUCGGGAAAUAUGCACGAGUUCUGCAGCGGAAAUACUGUGCGACUUUAGGAGUGCAAUAUUCUUCCGCUAUAGAAAGAGUGCAUAUUUCCUGAUGCAAAGAUGAUAGCCUUUUUAUUACAUACGUAUCUACACGUAUAAAUAUAAUGUUAAUAUUAUGCAUUUGUUCAAUAGCCUGGAUAAGGUUAAAAAUACUGAACUAAAUCAGUGUAGCAUUGGUCUGCAGAUGCGUCAAGUGUGGUAUGCCGUGUGUUGUGUGCAUGUCACCUUCCGCUUUCAGCUUCCGCCGCUGGCUAGCCUUCUGGUGAAAAAGAAGCCGUAUGCGUAAGUCUUCCCUGCCUGUACAUAGCCUCUCUGCAAACAAGCCCCUUUGCUGUGCCUCCCAAUUGGCGCCACACGGUAACUGAGCACCUUGCGGCCUCAGACAGAACUGCAGGGGACUCGGAGGAGGUCUGCCCCCAGACAUGUGGCAUGCCAGGCCCACCGGUGUGUGGACACGCCCUGAUGCCUAUGAACAGAUCCCCAGCUAUGGGACAAAUAGCCCUUGCGUUCACAGGGUAGGGUAUGAACUCGGAACUAAGGGUGAGGUAACCCCGACAGAAACAUAGAGAGUUGAAGACAGAGGAGCUGGGCCAUUGGCACUCUCUUAACAAACCACAGCACCAUGCAAUAUCGCUAUGGCUACACAGCAAUUCGGUAUUCAACAAUGUUGUACUGAAUCUCUGAAGUCCCUCUAGGGUGAUUCAGAGCCGGGCUCUGAGCCUCAACAGAGUCCACCCACAGCUACUGGGGGUCCCUCCUUCAAUCCAAAACAUGCAAAGAGAAGGAGGAACAUACCAAGGAGAAAAACCAAUCCGCAUCAGCCUUUCAGGUUGAUGUAUUGGUAAACGGAGGGUGUCUUCAACAGGAAAGCUGAACUUGAGCAUAUCCUCCAUGAAAAAGACAUCAAUGUCUGUUGCAUACAGGAAACUACUCACCUACAACCAGAGAAAUCCUUCAAAGUCAGAGGAUACCAGUGUUUCCGCUGUGACAGAAUUGGCAGACGAAAAGUAGGCAUCAUGACAUUGGUCAAGAACAGUGCUGCCCAGACCAACAUGCAUAUGGAUGACUCUGACUUCCAAGUUCUGAGCCUAAGAAAAAACGAGUUCGCUUUGAACCUUGUGAAUAUAUACUCUCCAAGGGACAAAGCUCUGUCCCUGGACAAAGUUACAACUGAUGAAACCAGGUUCAUCACUGUAGAGGAGACUUUAGCAGUCACUCACAAAGCUGGAGAUAUGACCACCUUGAUAAACGUGGAGAGGAAGUGGAAACCUGGCAAGAUGAUAACAAGCUUAACCUCAUCAACAGGCCGGAGGACUCCACCCCCCCCCCCCCCACCCCACCCCACACCUCCCCCUCCAACAUUUUACUCCAGAAGCUGGCAAACAACGUCAAACCCUGAUUUUGCUUUAUGUACUAAUGACAUACAUGGCCAUGCCAGGCGGGAACUAAGAGGAAGCGACCAUCGCCCAGUCCAUCUUACUAUGGACAGAAUACAAGAGAAGGCCAGAUGGACCUUUUACCAAAGUCUGAGUGAUAAGCUCUGCAAAGACAUCAGAGUGGAAGGUAAAGACAUCAACCGGGUUGUCAAAGACUUCAACACCAGUGUACUAAAGGCUGCUUACAGCGCCAUUCCAAGGGGAGCAAGAAAGGAGUAUAAGCCAUACUGGAGUGAUGAGUUGCAGAAUCUACAGGCAAAGUUAUCAGAAGCCAGGGAGGAAGCAGAAAACAAUCACAAGAAAGUAACCUUUCUCUACAAAUUCCUCAGGCACAAACUGGAAGCACAGAGGAAGAGCUGGAGAUAAAAACCCUCGCUCAACCUAGAACGAGAUGGCCAAAAGCUGUGGAGAUUGACGAGACAGCUGAACGAUGAAGACACAGGAAGAGGCCCAGAAAAUUUGGAAGAGAAUGGUGAACUGUUGACGGUAAACAAGCGGCAAACACUUUUGCCUCCAACUACAAAGAUGUUUCUAACAUCCCCAUCAACAGGGAACGGCAAGGGAAAGCCCGAAGAGAAAAAAGGGAAAAGCAGACAAGCCAAGCGGCAUCAGAAUCAUGAAACAGUCUUAAACUACAUAAGCUACUGACAGCUCCUAGGCAGUUGAAGACAAAGAUGUCUCCUGGACCAGAUGGAGUCACAAAUGAAAUGCUGACACAUCUAGGCACAGCAGCAAUGUGCAAACGCCUGGAUUUACAACUACAGCUGGACACAAGGACUGCUUCAACAGAUAAGGAAAGAGGCAGUCAUGAACCCCAUCUAUAAGAAAGGGAAAGAUCCAAAGUAGGCUGCAAGAUACCGUCCUAUCAGCCUAACCAGCUGUGUUGGAAAGACCAUUGGGAGGAUUGUGAAUGCACGCCUGAAGUGGUACAUGGAGACUAACAACUUACUCGCAACGCAACAAGCUGGCUUCAGACAAUUCCGCUCCACAGAGGACCAGAACACUAAUCUAUCGCAAGAGAUAGAGGACUCUUUCCAAGAGCAGAAAAUCGUGCUAACAGCAUGUAUUGAUCUGCAGCAGUGUUCGACAAAGUCUGGACUGAUCUGCAGCAGUGUUCGACAAAGUCUAUACUGAUGAACUCCUCGUCAAACUGAUGAGGAGUGGAGUAGGAGGUCACAUGCUGAGGUGGAUUAAGUCGUACCUCUAUAACAUGAGAGCAAGAGUAAGCUAAGAACAUGCCAGCAGUAGAAAGUUCCUGUUGCGUCAUGGUGUCCCGCAAGGCGGAGUCUUAUCACUCUUUCUGCUUUUCAUCAAUGACCUGGUGCCUGAACUACAGAAAGGAGUUAAGGCUGCACUGUACGCUGACGACCUGGUGUUAUGGUGUAAGGAAGAACAUGCCAUGACAGCCAUACACAGUAUACAAGAAGCCAUCAAAAGGUUUCACCUUGGGCUGAAGAUUGGUUUGUCUCGAUCAAUACAGAAAAAAUCGUCCACUUCACUAUUCUCCCUGUUGUCAACGCAGAGGGUGGGUAAAAUCAAGAUGGGAAAUACUUCGCUGACUGAAGCAGACGAGGCAAAAUACUUUGGAAUGACCUUUGACAAACGGCUAACCUGGAAACCCUACAUUAGUCAAGCAGAAGGGAAGUAAAUACUAAAGACAGUAUAUCAGGGAACAGUGAAACCCCACUUAGAGUAUAGCUCAACUGCCUGGUCCACUACUGCCAAAACUAACCAAAAGGCUCUAGACAAGGUUCAAAAUCAAGCAUUGUGGAUCAUGACAGGUGCUACAAAGUCUACACCAAUCUUCUUCAUGGAGAAGCUAACAGGUAUUCGAGAGUUCAAAACUGUGCUGAACAUACCAACGACUCCCCUAGGUAGUGAAAACAUUAUGAACCCUCUAGCGAAUGAUCUGUCUGCAGUGACUGUGAGACUUGCUGUUCCUUGUCUUGACCGCAGAAGGCAAGAGGAUGAAGGUAUUCGGGAGAGACUCACACUUGCUAUGAUCAAUGAAGACUAUCCUCCGGAAAAAUGGACUCAUGCCUAUACAGAUGGAUCAGCUACAUGCGCCAUUAAGAUGGAUGAGCAGGAGUUUUCAUUUAAUACCCAUCUGGCAAGAGAGAAAUACCACAUGCAGCCACAAGAAAGCACUGCAACAAUUACAAGGCAGAGACUGAAGCACUCAUGAAGGCCGUCUCAAUGGUUGAAGACUCGGCAGAAGAAAGCUCCUCAGUCGUCUUUCUCACAGAUGCACUCUUAUGGAAGCUCUGAUCAACAGUAAAGCUCCGCAGCUAGCCAGGAUAAUGCAGAGCUUGAGUAUUUCCUGCAAAAUAGCACUUCAGUGGAUUUCAUCCCAUUGUGGACUUGCAGGCAAUGAAGAGGCAGACCAAUUGGCUAAGCUAGGAGCUCAGGCAGAGCAACCAACAACACCUGUGAGUUACAAAGAGAAAGUCACCAUCAUCAAGGCACUAAUGAGACCAAGAAUUGAGGAAGAUGCUUUUCAUCUCCUUCAUCGGUCUGAACAAGUGAUGCUGGCCAGGCUUCGCUCAAGAGGCACAACAAGCUCAAUGCUCACAUGUACAAGAAAUACAGACUGGCACCAUCACCAACUUGUCCAUGUGGUGAGGAAGAUCAGACUAUGGAGCAUAUACUUCAGAGAUGUAAAAGGCAUGAACAGGAGGGAGCUGCAACUUGGCCGAUAGAAACCUCAAUCCACCAGAAACUGUAUGGAGGCAUUGAGGAUCUGCGGAAAACCACAAACUUCAUUGAGGCUACUGGUCUGCCAGUGUAGUCGCGAACGAAGAAGUAGAAGAAACUGAAUUAAAUAAGAAAAUAAUUAAUGCAUCAACACAUUAAAUAACGUCAUGCACCUGAUAUGAAAUUCAGGCGGCAGUGUAUUGAAAAAUGUUCACGUUUCCGGUACCACUGUAAUUAACGGGGAAUAGAAACGAGUAUGUUAUAAAAGCACUUUUAUAUGCUAUGACCAUGACUAAAAUCUGCAUAGUUGACAGAUAUAAUUCUUCAUCUUAAAUUUAUAGUUAAUUGAAAUAGAGCAAGUGAAGAACUACAUUGAGGUUAGUAGAACAAACGAAACAUCUUUAGACCAAAACCAAACAUAUUUUGAUCUAGUACAGGUAAGUUCAACUUGAAUGUUCAAACUUUAUUUCAAACCAGAACAGCGACAAAAUUAAAUCAUGUUCACUUACUUUCUUUCCUUACCGUGAAUCAUGUUGAGUUGGUUAAAAUCAAUGUCGUAUCAGAUCAGGCAAAAUAUUAGAAAAAAAGAUAGAAAUGUUUUAUUUUAUGUUUCACCUCUUAUUGAUAGGUAUGUCUAAAUUAGAUACUUAUUUUUUUUAAUUGAUAUGCGAGUUAUUUUCAUGGUGCCUGUGUUCAUCGAACGUGACCUGUUGCAAUUGCUACAAACUGUAGGUAAAGGUUUGCUUUGGGUAAACAAGAAUGCUGAAAAUGAAAGUGUAAGAGAACGCCCUGAUUAUUUUAAAAGUUAAAUCUAAAAACAAUCAAAAAUCUAAAAUUUGCCAACAUUAUGCACUCUUAAAAGCCUAAAAUGCAGUUGUGUUUUAUCUUGACCAGUCAAAUCUAGUAUGUGACCAUUACUACGGGAUGGGCGUCGAGAAUGCAUGGUCACGUGGCUAUAGUGGAAAGGGCGUCGUGGUUGCCGUAACUGAUAUAGGGAUAAAUACAGAUUUGAUUGGUCUUCAGCCAAAUAUAGGAGGAAUCGUUUACUGAGUAAGUUUCCUAAAUGUUCCUUUUGCCAGGGUGCAUGUACCACGUGACUUUUUCGCUAAUCUGGGGUGCCAAAAAGAUGGCGGAUUCCUCGAUAAAGACAUUUGUGUGCCGGGAAUGCGGAAGGACAUAUUAUUCCAGAAAAAGCCUUCUGCGCCACGAAAGAGGCUACAGGAAUCUUUGACCUUAUAACUGCGGCGGGUGGUCUUUCCCGGGUCGAAGAGGACUAGGAGCUGUACAGGUAUUUACGGUCGGUCCUCCUGGACACGAGCUAGCUAAUAACGAGUAUACAAUCACAGUGAGUGCAGUUGGUCAAAAUGGAACAAUUCCGAUUGAUUCAGUCAUAAGCGCGAGUGUACUAACUUCGGGACUUCGAAACGGAAAUAAUCUCACUGCCAAUUCUAUGCUUACUACAUCAUUUGGGAACAAAUGUGUAACAGGUUUUGCGGGAGUAUCUGCUGCAACCGCGCAAGUUGCCGGAAUUAUAGCGUUAGCCUCGGAAGCAAAACCGCAGCUGAAAUUGGCAGACAUCCAAGAUUUAAUUGUUUAUUCUUCAGACAUGGAUUGUUUACAAGAAUCAACAAAUAUAACAACAAACGUAGCUGGACUGAAAUCUAUGAUGAAGCACAAGGAUAUACUGCAGAGUUCUGUUAUAGCUGUUCUCAAGAUAUUGCCGGUUCUAUGAUUGCAUCAGGUUGUCUGCAUGUCGUAAAACCGUAAAGAUUCAAGUAACUUAUCACACAUCUGCUACAUACAUGCGCAUGUAUUUGAUCUCGCCGAGCGGGACAGUGUCAAUUUUACAGGAUUUUAAAUCAAACAGUGUGCAAACAGAAUCAACAAGAAGAAAACAGAUUCUUACAUCAGUUCAUUUCUGGGAUGAAGAUGCAUUUGGACUUUGGAGAUUCCAGCUCAAGUCUAAUGGAAAAACUGAUGUGAUAGGAAAUGUUUCACUGACAUUUUUUGGAACUAGAUCAAACAUGACAAGAAAGGACACAAUGUUGAAGGACAAAACUUGUGCACCAGCAUGUCAAUCUCUACCCAGCGAUUCUGAUCAUACGGAUAGUUGCAAUAUCAUAAUUGCCGCUGUUGUUACUCCUUCUUGCAUAUUUGUGAUUAUAGUUAUCAUAGUUGUAUCAUGUAUUAUACACAAAAAGAGAACAAGAGGAACAACCGAUGAAUCACAUAGAUCACAUGAAAUGAAUGACCCAUCAAACAAAGCCCUUAUUGCCUGAAAUAAAAAACAAAGGCAAACAAGUGCGUUCCGUAAAACACGGACGCAAAUAUAUGCUUUUGUUUCUAUCAAAAUGUGUUAAACUUGUGUCGUUCGAUGUGUGACAUUUUUAUAUUUCAGAUGAAAUUAUUAAAUAUUAAAUGACAAUGAAAUUUUGAAUGAAUGUGGAAUGUGGAACGUACCUAUUUCUUAAAUAUAAGCAGCAAAACUACUGAAAAUGUUUACAUGCCUACUAUUUACCUAACACAAGACAACGAGAUGAAAUGCGGAAAAUACAGAUCUAUUUGAAAAUUAGUUAAAACAGGAUAGCGAAUUAUCAAUUAUUCCAUGGCCACAUUAUUGGAAAAAAUAAAA
Mercenaria mercenaria is the source of this 10987-nucleotide long non-coding RNA. RefSeq lists it as uncharacterized. The transcript has 9 exons. The record is from RefSeq and is a predicted model, not a curated record. Lineage: Eukaryota; Metazoa; Mollusca; Bivalvia; Venerida; Veneridae.